This 229-nucleotide ribosomal RNA is filed under the name uncultured bacterium. Its description in RNAcentral is "partial 16S ribosomal RNA". It matches the Rfam family "Bacterial small subunit ribosomal RNA", at positions 568 to 796 of the family's 1533-position model. The record is from RNAcentral.
UUCGUAGGCGGCCUGAUUAGUCAGAGGUGAAAUCUAACGGCUUAACCGUUAGCCUGCCUUUGAAACUGUCAGGCUUGAGUAUUGGAGAGGAAAGCGGAAUUCUUGGUGUAGCGGUGAAAUGCGUGGAUAUCAAGAGGAACACCCGUGGCGAAAGCGGCUUUCUGGCCAAAUACUGACGCUGAGGAACGAAAGCUAGGGGAGCAAACAGGAUUAGAUACCCUGGUAGUCC